This 406-nucleotide ribosomal RNA is filed under the name uncultured bacterium. RNAcentral's name for it is "partial 16S ribosomal RNA". It matches the Rfam family "Bacterial small subunit ribosomal RNA", at positions 30 to 526 of the family's 1533-position model. The record is from RNAcentral.
AUUGAACGCUGGCGGCAGGCUUAACACAUGCAAGUCGAACGAGUGGCGGACGGGUGAGUAAUGUCUGGGAACCUGCCUGAUGGCGGGGGAUAACUACUCGAAACGGUAGCUAAUACCGCAUACCAUUAGAUCUGCCCAUAUGGGAUUAGCUAGUUGGUGGGGUAACGGCUCACCAAGGCGACGAUCCCUAGCUGGUCUGAGAGGAUGACCAGCCACACUGGAACUGAGACACGGGCCAGACUCCUACGGGAGGCAGCAGUGGGGAAUAUUGCACAAUGGGGGCAAGCCUGAUGCAGCCAUGCCGCGUGUAUGAAGAAGGCCUUCGGGUUGUAAAGUACUUUCAGCAGGGAGGCGGUACCUGCAGAAGAAGCACCGGCUAACUACGUGCCAGCAGCCGCGGUAAUUC